RNAcentral lists this ribosomal RNA (656 nucleotides) under Acarospora leavittii. RNAcentral's name for it is "partial small subunit ribosomal RNA". It matches the Rfam family "Bacterial small subunit ribosomal RNA", at positions 385 to 1125 of the family's 1533-position model. The record is from RNAcentral. Lineage: Eukaryota; Fungi; Ascomycota; Lecanoromycetes; Acarosporales; Acarosporaceae.
GCUAGUUGUAUUAUUAGUUAAUGCAAGAUCGACUACGUCGACUAAAGUUCUAGGUAGAAUAAUGAUGAUGACAAUUUUUUACCUAUAUGUCUUGACCAAGUCUCGUGCCAGCAGUCGCGGUAAUACGUGGAAGACUAGUGUUAUUCAUCUUUAUUAGGUUUAAAGGGUACCUAGACGGUAUUUCUAGCCCAAAAUAGGGUACGGAUUUACUAGAGUUUUAUGUGAGGAGGGGAGUACUCGUGGAGUAGAGAUGAAAUUUUGUUAUACUAUGAGGUAACUGGUGGCGGCGAAAGCAACCUUCUAUGUAUAAACUGACGUUGAGGGACGAAGGCUUGGGUAGCAAAUAGGAUUAGAUACCCUAGUAGUCCAAGCAGACAAUUCUGAAUGCCAUAGAUUAGAUUAUUUUUGGUCUAUAAAUGAAAGUGUAAGCAUUCCACCUUAGGAGUAAUGUGGCAACACAGGAACUGAAAUCAUUAGACCGUUUCUGAAACCAGUAGUGAAGUAUGUUAUUUAAAUUGAUGGUCCACAAAAAACCUUACCACAAUUUGAAUAUUUUUAAAUUAAUACAAGAGUUGCACGGCUGUCUUCAGUUAAUGUCGUGAGAUUUUGGUUAACUCCAUUAAUUAACGUAAACCCUUACUUUAUUUUUUUUUUUU